This 28-nucleotide ribosomal RNA is filed under the name Platanus occidentalis var. palmeri. Lineage: Eukaryota; Viridiplantae; Streptophyta; Magnoliopsida; Proteales; Platanaceae. The record is from RNAcentral.
CUCCUGGGAAGUCCUAGUGUUGCACCCG